Molecule: non-coding RNA, 1262 nt
Organism: Myodes glareolus (Bank vole)
Lineage: Eukaryota; Metazoa; Chordata; Mammalia; Rodentia; Cricetidae
Source: RefSeq, a predicted model, not a curated record
UUAGAGGCAAGCACAGAGGCAUGCACAGGUUUACAACAUCAAUGUUGUCAUAAUUCACAGGCCAUAUGGCAGAUUGAACAUUCCCUUAUUCCCCUCCGACAUCAUUGCCUUCUUAGGUUCAUCCUUUUCUUUCCAACUCAAACCUUUUCCGUUUCUGUUAGACACUGAAGAAUAAAGGCAAAGAUAUACUACACGGGAUCAUAAUGUUCUCUGUGGACAUCAGCACUGCUAAGAAGACUCACUUGUACUGCACAACACACUGUGGUUUACAAGAUCAGCUGGGCACUCAGCUUUCAGACUUCGAAACGGAUUGUUGGACCUGCAGAUGAAGAAUGAACUGUGAACUGGGUUGAGAAGGUUGUGACAACCUCCAGGACCAUGAACCUGGCUCCCGUUUUCUGUGUAGUGCUCCAUCUGCCCCCUUCCACAGAGAGCCGUGAAGGCUGCGCAGAAGAAUAUUAUUUUACGUCCUGUCACUUGUGAACUCACUGAAGAACUCAGAAGAUGAUUCUGAAAACACUUUGCACUCCACACGUGGGAGUCAGUUGGUGUUUCUGAGGACAGAACAGUAAAUCAGCCUGAUGCGGGAGAUGUGAAUGGAUUAAGUUCACCUGAUCGUCUCAGAAUGAUUUAUCAUUGCUUUGUGUUUUGGUGUGCGGAUGGAGACAGGACAUGGAAUGGGAAUGAGGUAUUAAAAAUCUCAUUCAGGACCAACUUCACUGAAUCAACCAUGUGUGAUAUAAUACAACUUUAUAUAGCUAUGAAUUCUUCUUAUUGAUUGACUGAGAAAGUAUCCUUACACAUAUUCCCAACAAAGCCGACAGGGAGGAGGAGACAUUUUUAGCUGUUUCUCUAAGCAACUGUAUAAAUACUAAUUGUAUUUAUCAAUAAGGGAAAAGAAAAAAAUCUAAGCCUUUUGAAUUCCUCCAUUUCAGGAUCAAACUGUAUGAUCUUUCCUUAAGUAAAUAUUUUUUCAUAUAUCCUUUCAGUAUUUUCUCAGAAAGAUAUCUUUUCAGGUAUUUUAAACAGAAAUUCGAAGUUGACAACCUGGGACGUCUGUCCUAACCCAGCCGUGGGCUGUGUCUGCGUUCUUACUUAUUUCCUCUGGAUGUCUACCUGAACCCCAGCAGUCUGUGUUCUGUUUACACAGUUUCAGUGUUUGGGGACGUCUGUGCUAGCUCAGCAGUGUGUGGUGUCUGUGCUCUGCUUACACAGUUACUGGCUCUCCUCAGCUCAGAUCCACAGUUAAGUAAGUGAAUUUC